GCCCCACAGGCCUCCAGGAGCUCCAGGCCCUGUGGCCAGGCAGGCAGAGCCAGCUGUGGGCAGCAAGAGCAGUGACCUCCCAGGCCACACAGGGUCCAGGUUGGGGGUGAUGUCGCCUGGCCACCCGACCCAGCCCUGCUUGCCCUCAGCAGUCAUGGUGGGGAGAUGCUCAUAUGGGACCCUUGGUGGCUACCAGGCAUCCGCACUGCACCACAGAAAGGGGCGCUCCAGGCUGCAGCCGUCCAGCAUCACCACCGCCAGCACUGCCAGCCUCUUGCUUCCGGGGUUGUUUUUGCAUCUGUGGCCCCAGCAUGACUCUGGGUCCAGGCCCAGGCAUCCUCAUCCCAGCUGAGGGUGUGCUCUGAGGCCGGGCAGCUGCCUCCUCAGACCUCUGAGCCUCCCACAAAGAGCCGAUGGUCCUCCUGGUGCUGAGCACCUCCCCACCACGCAGACCUGUGGUCGCAGCCACAGAGGAUGCACGGUGCCCUUCGGUGAGCAGCGGGACACAGCUGUGCCUGGGGCAGAUGGGCACCUAAGGCCUCCUGCCCCAGGCAGGCCCCAAUCCCAGGGAGCCGAGGAAGGGUGCUGCUGGCACAGGGGUUCCCAGCUGUGUAGGCCCAGCAGGUCCUGAGACCCUGCUCUGCAGACCCUGAAGCCCCACCCAGGCUGGGGCAGAAGCAGGGGGGAGCAGAGAGCACCGCCCCCCAUCACCAGGUGCCAGUAUGCGGGAGCUGCCCCUUGGGUCUCCAGGGGGCUCCCUGGGCCCUCCCUGGGCCCCCAGAACCCCUGGGCAUGGAAAGGCGCCUAGACCCUGGGGCUAUGGUCUGGGGUACAGGAGGGGUCUGAGUCAGGCAGGGCCAGCCUGUGACGUCUGACCCCAUCUCACUGCUCCUCAGCUCCAGCCUGGGGGGCUGGGGGCACCUGUGGCCCUGGCAGUGACGUUCCUGUUACCUGUGGCCCACCCAGAGGCCCGAAUCUGCGUUAGUUGCCCACAACCAUAAAGGACAAAAGGAAAACGGGCUGGACAAGAUGGUACACGCCUUUAAUCCCAGCGCUUGGCUGAGGCAGGAGGGUCAUAGAGAGUUGGAGACCAGUCUGAGCUACACAGCAAGUCACUGUCUGUGGAGAAGGACAUUCUAUAGUUCACCUUUCAAUGUAUUACCUAUUUGGGACCUCGGGCCUGACCAAGCCAUAUGCUUGUGUGAUUCUGGAGGAAGUCUAGCAGAAGCACUGGUGUAAAAGGAAAUGAUAGCGGGACCCGUGUCCCUGCGGAAAGCUGCGGGACAGCACUCGAUGCCUUGCUGAGAUGUGCCCGCGGGAAUGACAGCACGACGGCUAGCUCAGUCGGGUCUCAUUCCUGUGAUAAGAUGUAUUGCCCUCGCUAACCCUGUUUGUGAUUCCUCCCAUUUGCCCCGUUGCUGCUUUUUGUGAGAAUCCCAAUAAAAGGCUGAAGUAGACCGUAAUGGAGGCUUCAGUGCUGGAGGCUUCAGCCCCCUGAUCCCACA
RNAcentral lists this long non-coding RNA (1505 nucleotides) under Chinchilla lanigera (long-tailed chinchilla). RNAcentral describes it as "lncRNA (ENSCLAG00000029218.1)". The record is from RNAcentral. Lineage: Eukaryota; Metazoa; Chordata; Mammalia; Rodentia; Chinchillidae.